GCCAUGGCCCAGGUGAGACGCCCGGUCCCAUUCCGAACCCGGAAGCUAAGGCCUGGCACGGCGAUGGUACUGCACCCGACAGGGUGUGGGAGAGUAGCACGCCGCCGCAC
RNAcentral lists this ribosomal RNA (110 nucleotides) under Bifidobacterium longum. Lineage: Bacteria; Bacillati; Actinomycetota; Actinomycetes; Bifidobacteriales; Bifidobacteriaceae. The record is from RNAcentral.